RNAcentral lists this long non-coding RNA (1299 nucleotides) under Oryctolagus cuniculus (rabbit). RNAcentral's name for it is "lncRNA (ENSOCUG00000038085.1)". Lineage: Eukaryota; Metazoa; Chordata; Mammalia; Lagomorpha; Leporidae. The record is from RNAcentral.
AUGGCCCCAGGGGCCGCUCUGAACCCAGCAGAGAAGGGCCCGGUCCACAAAGGGCAGGCUGUGCCCCACAGCACUUUCGGUGGGGAGGCCCCAGCCGCUCACUUUCGUUCCUUACAUUUUUAUUCAAGAAUUGUAAAGAAAGGGACACAGCGACCACCUCUCCCAGGCCAGAUCCGCUGCUGUGGCGCUGCCCAGAGCCGAGGCCCUGUGGGUGCGCCCGCGGGAGAGGCAGCUAGCAGACUCUGCGGCCAGGACCGCACAUCUCCAAGCCACCAUAGGCUGCACGCUGGCGUCGCCACUCCGGGGUACCGACUGCUGGGGAGAACAUCCCCCAGAGCCAGGCCCCAGGAAGAGGGCCACCGGCCACGCAGGGCCAGCGCGGGGAGCAGGCCAGGCCAAGGGCUCCCCGGCCCGCGUUCCACUUCCAUAAAAAGGCCCGGCCCGCCCUUGAUCACGCGGCUCGCCCAACAGCCCCGCUCCAGCCCCGGCCUAAUUGAGCCCCGGUCACCUGGGAAUAGGUUCAAAGGCAUCGAAGCCGUAAACCACCUCCAGACCCGGAGCCAGAGCGGCCUGGCGAACAAAGGGCCAGGAACCACUUCAAACGCGCUCGCGCUCUGCGUCCAGAUGGCGCGGGGCCGGGGUCCGCGGUGUUGCCCACCGAGGCCAGGCCCCGCUCUCCCGCCGCCCUGCGCCCGCGGGCGCCCAGCGCCGGGAGAGCUCCAGGGCGUUCUCGGUGCGCGGCAGGCCGAGAGGAGCGGGGAGGACGCGGCGGGGCAAGGCGGCGCCCCGGGCACUGGGCGCUCCCGCAGAGGCUCGCUGCGGCGCCCGGCUUUAACAGCACUUCAAUGGACAGCUGGGGACAGGCGUCGGGGCAGGCACUCCCCAGGCAGCGGGCGCGGGAAGCGGGCCCCAUCGCGCGGGGUGGCCGGGACGGGCGGUGCGCGAGUGGAGACGGGCGUCUCCGGACCGCACCGAGUGUCCACACGCGCUCCAGCCUCAGGCCCGAGUGUGCGCCCUCCCGGGGCCAGCGAAGGCGCACUCGGGACUGGGUGCUCCCAGAGAGGUUCCAGGUCGCGUCCUCACCUCCGGGGAGCGCAUCUGGCUUCGGAAUGCCUCCUGCACCCGGCCAGAGACUCAGCGGCCCGGCGCGGCCCCCUCUCCCUGGGGAGGCGGAGACAAAGCCAGGCCCGGUCGGGCGUGGGCUCCGAGCGGCCCGCGGCGAGGGCGCGGGCGGCGCGCGAGGACCGCGUCUUGGGGCGAUGCGGGCCGCGGCCGGGGCCGCCGGAGAGGCAAAACUGA